CCAUCCUCCAAGGCUAAAUACUCCUGACUGACCGAUAGUGAACCAGUACCGUGAGGGAAAGGCGAAAAGAACCCCGUUGAGGGGAGUGAAAUAGAACCUGAAUCCGUGUACGUACAAGCAGUGGGAGUCGGUGGGCAGUUGACAGUGGACAGUAGACAGUUGAUGUGCAGAAGCACGGUUGACUGAAACGCUGUUGCUGGAUGAUAAAGCGUCGGAAUGGAACAGGGAGCCAGAAACAGGCACUUCCUGAACCGUUCACCGUCUACUGUCAACUGUCCACCGAUGACUGCGUACCUUUUGUAUAAUGGGUCAGCGACUUACUUUCAGUGGCAAGGUUAACCGACUAGGGGAGCCGUAGAGAAAUCGAGUCUUAACAGGGCGUCGAGUCGCUGGGAGUAGACCCGAAACCGGGCGAUCUAUCCAUGGGCAGGUUGAAGGUUGAGUAACAUCAACUGGAGGACCGAACCGACUAUCGUUGAAAAGCUAGCGGAUGACCUGUGGAUAGGAGUGAAAGGCUAAUCAAGCCCGGAGAUAGCUGGUUCUCCUCGAAAGCUAUUUAGGUAGCGCCUCGUGUCUCACCAUCGGGGGUAGAGCACUGUUUGGGCUAGGGGGUCAUCCCGACUUACCAACCCCAUGCAAACUCCGAAUACCGAUGAGUGCAAUCACGGGAGACACACGGCGGGUGCUAACGUCCGUCGUGGAAAGGGAAACAACCCAGACCGUCAGCUAAGGUCCCAAAGUUCUGGUUAAGUGGGAAACGAUGUGAGAAGGCCCAGACAGCCAGGAGGUUGGCUUAGAAGCAGCCAUCCUUUAAAGAAAGCGUAAUAGCUCACUGGUCGAGUCGGCUCGCGCGGAAGAUUUAACGGGGCUCAAACUAGACACCGAAGCUACGGGGUUCAGUGGUCAGUUUUUAGUGGUCAGUCGGCAGUUAGAGAGGCAGGUUGUGCAGGGUUUUGAGCAAUUAGAGGUAUUUCAAAGGGCUUAUAAACUUUCAUUGAAAGUUCACAGGAUAACCCUUGAGUUUCCGAAGAUUGAGCAAACGAAUGGGCUUGCUGAUCAAAUGCGCAGAGCCAGCAAAGGCAUUUGCGCAAAUAUUGCUGAAGGACACGGAAAACUGGUCAUCUCAAAAGCAGAGUUUCGAAGGUUCCUGUUAAUGGCCGUCGGAUCCUCUGAUGAAAUGAGAGUUUGGUUAAGAUACUGCCUUGAUCUGAAAUACAUAGAUGAUCAGCAAUGGCAAUAUCUAAAAACCGAAUACAAUCAGGUCAGUAAAAUGUUGGUGGGUUUGCACAAGAGUUAGAGAUAGCUCGGAGCAAAACUGACCACCGACCACUAAAAACUGACCACUGCAACCGGUAGAGGAGCGUUCUGUAAGCCGUUGAAGGUGUAUCGGGAGGUAUGCUGGAGGUAUCAGAAGUGCGAAUGCUGACAUGAGUAACGACAAGGGGAGUGAGAAGCUCCCCCGCCGGAAGACCAAGGGUUCCUGCGCAACGCUAAUCGGCGCAGGGUGAGUCGGCCCCUAAGGUGAGGUCGA
This 1531-nucleotide ribosomal RNA is filed under the name Thalassotalea sp. G20_0. RNAcentral describes it as "partial 23S ribosomal RNA". It matches the Rfam family "Bacterial large subunit ribosomal RNA", at positions 453 to 1405 of the family's 2925-position model. Lineage: Bacteria; Pseudomonadati; Pseudomonadota; Gammaproteobacteria; Alteromonadales; Colwelliaceae. The record is from RNAcentral.